UGAGGAACAUGACUUUCGGCGGGGGAUAGCCGGGCCCAACGGCCGGGUAAUACCGCGUACGACCACUUGGGGACAUCCCCGAAUGGUGAAAGCUGCAAUGCGCCGAAAGAGUGCCUCGCGGCCUAUCAGCUAGUUGGUGUGGUAACGGCUCACCAAGGCGACGACGGGUAGCUGGUCUGAGAGGAUGAUCAGCCACACUGGGACUGAGACACGGCCCAGACCUCCGUACGGGGAGCAG
This 238-nucleotide ribosomal RNA is filed under the name uncultured bacterium. RNAcentral's name for it is "partial 16S ribosomal RNA". It matches the Rfam family "Bacterial small subunit ribosomal RNA", at positions 118 to 351 of the family's 1533-position model. The record is from RNAcentral.